This is a long non-coding RNA of Pogoniulus pusillus (Red-fronted tinkerbird), 1366 nucleotides long. RefSeq lists it as uncharacterized. The transcript is spliced from 5 exons. The record is from RefSeq and is a predicted model, not a curated record. NCBI's taxonomy places the organism in Eukaryota, Metazoa, Chordata, Aves, Piciformes, Lybiidae.
UGCCUCCAGUGCUGCUGUGCCCGGCCCAGGGAGGAGCUGGAACUGCUGAGAGGGUCCAGAGGAGGCCACCAGGGAAACCCCUGUCUCUUGUGUACUGGAGAAGGAAUGGUGUGUGUGCCAUCCUGUGCUGGCUUUGCUGCCAUCCUCAGCAUCCUCCACUGGAAGGUCAGGAGUGCUGUGCUCUGCCCAGAGUGCAGCUUGUCUGAUCUGAACAGACCAGUGAUCUCCUCAGCUGUGCUCCUGAGAGGGAAGUUCUUCAUUAUCCACAGAGAAGUUUUCUUGUAAUCAUGGUUCUGCUGUUUCUUCAGGUGCCUGAAUCUGUGUGCUCCCACUUGUAUUUUGUUCACAGCAACCUUAACAUCUUUCUUAGAGCUCUUUGGGAUGUGCAGGCAGCAGUGCAUGCAGUGAGAUGUGUGCAAGCUGCUGCAGCAAGACAAGACCAGCAGCAGUGCUAAGAAGGAAUGCAGUGAGCAGUGCUGCCAGGCUUUUCUCUUUGAGAGUCUCACACACUCUAAUAGAUGCCAGCUCUUAGCUAAAGCAUUCCAAGCUGUCUGUGCUUGAUCUCCAGGAGCAGCAACUGCUGUCCUUGCUGCUCCUUCCCUGCUGUGGUGAUUCCAACUGGGUACCAACCUCCUUCCCAUGCCAAACCCAAUUGUCACCAAAUAUCGCUGCCCCAUAAGUGCCAGCAGCAGCUCUCUGGGCUGCCUAAGGAAGUGGCUGUGUCCAGUUAUGCCUGCUGAGGUGGAGACCUGCAUAGCAACGAGGGAAAAGGAUUCAAAAGGCUUUUGGAUAAUGAGUGGCUGCAGGUGAUUGCAUAAAUACUGUGUGCUGCUGAUACUGGACAGGAUGAAGUCUUUGAAUCAUAUAGACAGAGUUGGCUUUUGAACUUGUAGCCCCUUUGAUUUAUUGGCUGCUGCCUCAGGAGUUUCUGUCUGGUUUAAAAUCAUGUCUGAAUUAUGUUUCUUCUAGCAGUUAUUUCCUGGCUUAGCUGUUCUGUGACUCUGUGUUUCCUUUCACUUACUGCUUAUCUUAAUCACUCUUAACUUUGCAAGUCUCCAUUUUGACUUCAUUUUCAAUAAACCUGUGCCUGUGUAAUAAAACCUCCCCAAAAGUGGCAAUUCUUAGCCAAGAGCUAAGCCAGCUCAGCUGUGCUUGUUUGCAAUGAAACUGCAAGCUCAUUAAACCAUAACAUUCAUUUACUUGUUGCCAGCUCAGAUGUGCUAUGAUGAAUCUAUCAUCUGCUCCUUUCAACCUCAGCCUUUGUAUGGCUUAGAUAUCAAUGCAUGUGUGCAGGUAGAGAGCAAAUGAACAUCAGGGAGCCCUUACUAGAAGGAUGAAAUAAGUCUGUUAACUACUCAGGCUUGUG